Small nuclear RNA from Sceloporus undulatus (fence lizard), 158 nucleotides. RefSeq annotates it as U1 spliceosomal RNA. The transcript has a single exon. NCBI's taxonomy places the organism in Eukaryota, Metazoa, Chordata, Lepidosauria, Squamata, Phrynosomatidae. The record is from RefSeq and is a predicted model, not a curated record.
UGUCUGCCCUGGCAAGGGAGACACUAUGAUCACGGACAUAGUUUUCCCAGGGUAAGGCUCAUCUAUUGCACUCCAGGUGUCCUGACCCCUGUGAUUUCCCCAAUAAUUUAAUAUAUAUGAAUUAUUAUUAUUAUUAUUAUUAUUAUUAUUAUUAUUAU